AUGGCCCUGCACCAGCACCACGCGGGGUCGGCGUCCGGGUCGGCGUCGGCGUCCAGCUCCAGCUCGGGGCUGCACCUGCCCGCCUCGCCCUUCGGGGACACCACCCACACCAAGCUCUUCGUCGGGGGCCUCGCCUGGGAGACCACCAGCGAGAGGCUCCGCCGCUUCUACGAGCGCUUCGGGGACAUCCUCGAGGCCGUCGUCAUCACCGACCGCCACUCCGGCCGCUCCAAAGGAUACGGCUUCGUGACGUUCCGCGAUGCCGAGGCGGCCACCAAGGCCUGCGAGGAACCGUCGCCGGUCAUCGAUGGCAGGCGGGCCAACUGUAACCUGGCGUCGCUAGGUCGCGCCCAGCCUUCCACACCCCUCGGGCGGCCACGAUCAGCUGGCUCCUACUUUGGUGUUCCUGUCCCAAGGGGCAUUUAUGUAGGUGGUUAUGGUCAGCACCGACCCCUUCCGCUUGGGUACUACCAGUACCAGGGAUUUCCGGUUCCACAAUACAGUUACUCCGCAUAUGGCACCGACUACAUCUAUCCACAGGUUAAAGGUACAUUAAACCCAUAUGUUGGUCAGCAAUAUGUUCCAGUUUACGGUGUCUCAGCUGCAGCAAAUACUGCUAACCAACCAUUUAGCCAAUUGAGCCCAUCCAUUUCUGGUGGGGGCAACGGCUAUCCGAUGAUGCAUGGUUACAGUAUGCCAGGAAAUCAAUUUGUGCAUCUCACUGGGUCAAACUUAAUUAAUUCAUCCCCAACAAAUCGUCCCACCAUUCAGGCUCCCUUUUUAGUAGCAGCACCGGUUCCCUCCCAUCCACACUUAGUUGUACCAGCCCACUCACCUCAGUUUACACAAGCUAGUGGUUCAGACUAA
Molecule: ribosomal RNA, 867 nt
Filed under: Triticum aestivum (bread wheat)
Lineage: Eukaryota; Viridiplantae; Streptophyta; Magnoliopsida; Poales; Poaceae
Description: partial small subunit ribosomal RNA
Source: RNAcentral